This is an RNA transcript of Dermacentor silvarum, 1717 nucleotides long. RefSeq lists it as uncharacterized. The transcript has 5 exons. Lineage: Eukaryota; Metazoa; Arthropoda; Arachnida; Ixodida; Ixodidae. The record is from RefSeq and is a predicted model, not a curated record.
UAGUCUGAUAACGUUGGUUCAAACGUUCUAGAAGCAGGUUCGCGUUGUGUUUUUGCGUGUGCCGUGGCGUCGGUAGGUGUCGUGGUGGUUGACGCGACUAACCCCACGCUUCCGGCGUAAUAUCCCGUAUUCUCAGUUGGUCGUCGUUCCGACAGGUGUGCCGUGCGCGUUUAUGUCGAGUGUGUGACAAGCUAACCGCGACUGCGGCUUGACGUAUUACUACCGCAACAGAGGGACGUGAGGAUUCUUGCUUCGCUUAGCGUGGGAUUUUGGAUUCGCUGCGCGACAUCGCCUUUCCUACCUGCGACGUCCCGCCGGAGGUGUUAUUUAGUUUAUUUUCUCCCUGCGUUGAGCGCUUGGCUGCUCGACCGAGAGGAUUCCUGACAUGGCACGCGACGGCAGCUUCUGCGGGCUGGCGGCUUUGGCGGCGACGGUGAUCGUCCUCAGCUGUCUUGUCAUUGCAGGAGGCCAAAGAAGCCCAGGAGGCAAAGGAGGCGCCGGAAGCGCAGGAGCCCCAGGAAACCCAGGAGGCCAUGGAGGCCAUGGAGGCCACGGAGGUGCCGGGGGCCCAGGAAGCCCAGGAGGCGCAGGAGGUGCAGGAGAUGCCGGGGGCCCAGGACUCGCUGGGAGCGCAGGAGGCACCGGGGGCGAUGGAGGCGACGGGGGCGCAGGAGGCAUCGGGGCUCCAGGAGGCCGAGGAGGCGCAGGAGGCGCCGGAGCGCCAGGAAGCGACGGAGGCCCAGGAGGUGACGGAGGUUCAGGAGGCGAUGGAGGCCAAGGAGGCGCCGGAAGCACGGGAGGUGCCGCUGGCCCAGGAGGCGCCGGAGGUCCCGGAAAUCCCCCCGGACGCCCAGGACAAUCCGGACGCCCAGGAGGCCCUGGGAGGAGAUGAAACCUUUAGCUGCGACACCAAAUGUGCAUAACAAUCAAGUAAAUACGGUAUGUAACUCCCUGUGUACUCCCGGCCAAAAUAUUGUUUUGGUUAGUGCCGCUAUUAUCUCCCUUCCAUUUCUGUGUCCGUUAACAUGACCCUGCUCCAUUAGGACUGUUCUACGUUCUAUCAGCAGCAUCAACUGCAUCAUGUGUUUCCCCUCACUCCAAGUUUUCUACAUACCAGGUCCUUUUUCAGCUCACAUGUUGCACCUUCUCUGACCCCUUCUCGCAUAGGUCUUCCACCGAUGCUCCGCAUCACGUACUUGAGUGUCUGAGUGUCUAUUCUCUCUCUGCUGCCUUCCCAGCUCUUCCACGGAUUCAUCAAGUUUCCUUACUACUAUAUGCGUGUUCACAUCUUGUUCUUUAUCCCUCUUAGUGUCAUCACGGUUCCUUUAUCUGUUUGAACAGAUGGGUUCACUGAGCGACUAUGGGUCCUCGACUGCUCUCGGUCCUGGUAUAUUUUAUAAGAUCACGUCAUGCAGCAGUUUUUCUAGGCACCUGGCUGUCACCAUUCCUGUAUAGUACGGUGUGAAUAUAUAGAUCUUAGCCUCCGGGAGGUAUCUCACUGAGCUGUCCACGAAUAUAACUGGUUUCACCAGCCCCGUCAUGUUUUUCGGAACUACGAAACAUUUCCUUAUUAGCACAGUGCCCGAACCCGCGUCUCGUAAUACAGUAGCCCUCUUUCCUUCUUCUUUAUCUUCUACCACUGACAUACCUCCCUCUUUACUCUCGACAAUGGCUGCACUUACGACCUCUAAUCUUUCCUUUUCUUCAGACCUGCGAG